Juglans regia (Persian walnut) is the source of this 894-nucleotide long non-coding RNA. RefSeq lists it as uncharacterized. The record is from RefSeq and is a predicted model, not a curated record. The transcript is spliced from 2 exons. NCBI's taxonomy places the organism in Eukaryota, Viridiplantae, Streptophyta, Magnoliopsida, Fagales, Juglandaceae.
ACCAAAUUGUGGCUAUAUAUGUAUAUAUAUGGAUGAAAUAUUUGGCUGCAUCAACACGAGUUUUUUUGGGCAUUCUACUCAAGGAAGAUCAUCAAGCAUGGCGAGUUUACAACCAUUUUCUUGCCGACACACAUUAUUCGGUGCAAUUUUGUUUGUUUUCAUCUUUUUGGGUAAUGCUUAUAUAUAUAGUUUUUAAGCUUUUGAUCAGGUGGGAAGAGGUGUGUGCUGUUGUUACAGGCGAUUUGCAUGCAUUCGGCUCCUGUGUCAUCAAGAAAUGGCCAGAGAUCACAGGCCCACUGCAGAUUUCAUGUUAAGGGCAUGCAAAAGAUCAAAUAGAUUUUUUUGUCGUCCCCAUGCAUCAAUAUAUAUAUAUAUAUAUAUAUAUGCCACUAGAAUGCGUGAGAUAACCCCGAACUGAUGCCCACCUUUCCUAUAAUUGAUCUCUUCACCUCUUUCAUGUAUAGAUUAUGAUCAACUUGAGUCCAGAACCAACCCACAUGGACGCGGAAUGGAUGCAUAUGCAGUCCCAUCCCAAUCUAGGUUAACGUUGAGCCUGAGCACCAAAGUCCAAAAUAUAUUUGCCCCCACCCUACAUGUGUUACGCAGCUUCCGCGAAGCUUCGUCUUUCUACCUCAGCAUUACCGGACGGUUCUGUACGGACAGUUGCUAUAUGUGUAUUUUUUUCACUUCCAUAUGAUAUAUAUAUAUAGCAGCUGAAAAACACAUAUAUAUAUAUAUGUAUGUAAUUUGUGGUGUCAAAGUGUAAAUAUGAUUCUGAAAGUGUAUAACUUGAUUGCUUGGUCGAAGUCCUGAUCUACUCUUCAGAACGUUGAAACGUCAACCUUGUGGUAGUCUUUUGGGGAUUAAUGCAGUUGAUCACGCAAUACUGGAAAA